UGAGAAUUGGUGGAUCGUCGCUGCUAACGAUGGUUGAAAUCUUGUUUGAUUUGAUUCUCU
Molecule: transfer RNA, 60 nt
Filed under: Fasciola jacksoni
Lineage: Eukaryota; Metazoa; Platyhelminthes; Trematoda; Plagiorchiida; Fasciolidae
Description: tRNA-Ser
Source: RNAcentral